This 507-nucleotide ribosomal RNA is filed under the name Lysobacter sp. CL3.31. RNAcentral's name for it is "bacterial SSU rRNA". It matches the Rfam family "Bacterial small subunit ribosomal RNA", at positions 1 to 502 of the family's 1533-position model. The record is from RNAcentral. Lineage: Bacteria; Pseudomonadati; Pseudomonadota; Gammaproteobacteria; Lysobacterales; Lysobacteraceae.
UUGAGCUUGAUCCCUGGCUCAGAGUGAACGCUGGCGGCAGGCCUAACACAUGCAAGUCGAACGGCAGCACAGCAGUAGCAAUACUGUGGGUGGCGAGUGGCGGACGGGUGAGGAAUGCAUCGGAAUCUGCCUAUUUGUGGGGGAUAACGUAGGGAAACUUACGCUAAUACCGCAUACGUCCUACGGGAGAAAGUGGGGGACCUUCGGGCCUCACGCAGAUAGAUGAGCCGAUGCCGGAUUAGCUAGUUGGCGGGGUAAAGGCCCACCAAGGCGACGAUCCGUAGCUGGUCUGAGAGGAUGAUCAGCCACACUGGAACUGAGACACGGUCCAGACUCCUACGGGAGGCAGCAGUGGGGAAUAUUGGACAAUGGGCGCAAGCCUGAUCCAGCCAUGCCGCGUGUGUGAAGAAGGCCUUCGGGUUGUAAAGCACUUUUGUCCGGAAAGAAAAGCUUCGGGUUAAUAACCCGGGGUUAUGACGGUACCGGAAGAAUAAGCACCGGCUAACU